RNAcentral lists this ribosomal RNA (460 nucleotides) under uncultured bacterium. RNAcentral's name for it is "partial 16S ribosomal RNA". It matches the Rfam family "Bacterial small subunit ribosomal RNA", at positions 338 to 795 of the family's 1533-position model. The record is from RNAcentral.
CCUACGGGGGGCAGCAGUGAGGAAUAUUGGUCAAUGGGCGUAAGCCUGAACCAGCCAAGUCGCGUGAAGGAUGACGGUCCUACGGGUCGUAAACUUCUUUUAUAAGGGAAUAAAGUGUGUGACGUGUACGGUUUUGUAUGUACCUUAUGAAUAAGGAUCGGCUAACUCCGUGCCAGCAGCCGCGGUAAUACGGAGGAUCCGAGCGUUAUCCGGAUUUAUUGGGUUUAAAGGGUGCGUAGGCGGCCUGUUAAGUCAGCUGUGAAAGGUUGUGGCUCAACCAUAGAAUUGCAGUGGAAACUGGCGGGCUUGAGUAUGUGUGAGGCAGGCGGAAUGCGUGGUGUAGCGGUGAAAUGCUUAGAUAUCACGCAGAACCCCGAUUGCGAAGGCAGCUUGCUAAGCCGUGACUGACGCUGAUGCUCGAAAGCGUGGGGAUCAAACAGGAUUAGAUACCCUUGUAGUC